This 1169-nucleotide long non-coding RNA is filed under the name Aquila chrysaetos chrysaetos. RNAcentral's name for it is "lncRNA (ENSACCG00020006509.1)". The record is from RNAcentral. Lineage: Eukaryota; Metazoa; Chordata; Aves; Accipitriformes; Accipitridae.
AACUCCUAUACUUAGUGGUUAACACCUGAAAUUAAGUUAGACUGAGUUCUAAACGCUGUGCUUUUUUUAACCAGCUUGCAGAGUGUGACCACAGUUACAAACCACAAACCCAAAACCAGCUCAGAAGAAAGUGAAGUAGUUAGCGUUCAGGAGCAAGAAGGGAUUAUGUCUUCAUUUGAAUUAGCAGCACAGUCUUCAAAAGCAAAUCAGGCAACAGCAGUGAAAAGUUUGCCUUCUUCACCAGAAUCGUCAUUGUCACCAGCUCCAUCUACACAGACACAGCUCACAGAAGGAUCACAUUUCAUGUGUGUAUAGUUACAGAGAACACUAAUGGCUUCUAUUGAAACAAUUCAUGCCUGAGAUGUAUGGACCUGACCUAUGAAAAGAAGAUAUUGUACAGUAUAUUUUAAAUCUAUGAAAUUCAUAGUUCUGAUGCUUUUGGCCACAGAGCAUCAUUUUAUCACUUCCUGGAAAAUGUUUAUUCCAAGAGAGCUUUAAAUGGCCCACAUGUACACUCAACAACCUUCAAAUUGUUCUCCUGAUACCAGCUUGCUGCUAUGAUUUCUGUGCACAUAAGAUAAAGGCUCUUUUUAAUGUGCAGCCUACAGUCAGAACUUUAUUUGAUAUUCUCCAGAAUUUAAUGUUCUUUUAAUUAUGGAUCAUACAAGUUUACUUUUUUGCUUCUUUUAGAUGCAUAACUCAGUUAAUUUUACAUAUCACCACUAAACCUUGUUUUACACUUUUAAAACAUUAAAAUUUAUUGUUUUAACAUUUUAUUUGUAAAAUUUUUAUAUAUAUAUAUACAUAUAGAUAUAUUUAAAAUGUGCCAUUUUUAUUAUUGCUUAGUAAAAUAUGUCCUGUUUCUGCUGUAAUUAUUUCUUGGUCAGGUUGCAAUGUCAGCAGUUACUGCCACACUUCUGUCAACAUAUACAUUAAUGUUAGUGGUUACUUUUUCUUAAAUAAAAUGGAGUGUAGGUAUUUUGAGGUACUGGGCUUUUCCUUCGUUGGGUUAGGGUGUGUACAGCAAUAAGCAGGUUUUCAAUCCAGUACUUAGUUUGUGUACAAAUGUAAUUAUGUUCAUUGUGUAUAUAUUAUACAAUGAGCACAUACGAUGUAAGUAUAAGAAGCCACUUACUAUUGUUCAAAUAUGAAUGUUCAUAUCCCAUUUC